AGGGGGGGUUCUCCUGACUGAAGGCGCUUGUGACCUAACGCAGUGGUGCCCGGUCUGGGCCGUCCGCCUGUCUCCUUACCUCCACGUGGUUGGGGCUGGAUGGAGCCUUUGGAUUCUGACCGUGCUCAGGGUCAUGGGGAGGAGGCCAAGGCUGGGAGAGGUGGUGGUGUAGACCCAGCAGAGGCAGCAGUGGGAAGAACACCCACAAGAGACGGACCUGGGAGCCGUCCCUGAGAUUCAAGGGAACCUGCUGCUAUAGAGUCUCUGUGGCUCAGCUGUUUAAUUUUGCAGGUUCUGUCCAGGGAAUUCUCCCCCCGGCGAGUUGUUUUCCUCACCGAUGUUGAUGGAAUCUACGAUCGGCCGCCUGAUACCCCAGGUGCCAGGCUGGUGAGCUCCAUCUCCAUCCACCCCGACGGCAGCAUGGACCCCCCUGUGCUCACGUCCUCCCUGCCGCACGACACCACCGGCGGAGUCUCCCUGAAGUUACAGGCUGCCGUCAACAUCGUCCUCCAGAGCACAGGGGCCAUCCCAGUGCUGAUCUGCAAACUGGACAGCGACGCGGCCGACAGAGCCUGUUUGACUGGGGAGCUGGGAGCGGGCGAGGGCACCAGGCUGUCCCUGGCCGCUGCCUGAAGAAACGGGCUCUGGAGCGCCCUGUCAGGCAGGAGGAGUUGCCAUCGGCUUGUGCCGUUGGGCCCCAGCGUCUGCUCUGUGAUUUAUCCAUGUUCCAGGUGACUCCAAAGAAACAGCCCGCUGGCAGAGGGCAAUUCACAGACCCCUGUCUGCAUUUAAUGCACCUGUUCUCCAGCCCAGGUCUGACCCGAAUUGUGGCUCCCCCUCUGCUGAUGUUUCUUACGUCUGUCUUCACUUGAAGAGGCACAUAAAGCCAGGUAGCGAGCAGGCAGGCAGCCAGCUGGGAAAGAAGCUCAGAUGUUUCAGCUGGGAAUUAAUACACUAAUAUUAGCACAGCACUCGAGGCAGUAAAGUGCUAAGGAUUGUCGCUGUGCCAUAGAGGGGACUUUCAUGUGAAUUCUUGGGUGAUCCGAUUCCUUCCAGACCCUCGCCUCUGAAAUUCUAGUCUGCGGCUGAAAGCGGCCCUAGAAACAUUUCUAUAUGAAGCAUCUGUGCCAAUAGUUCAGACUUAAGUGCUUUAGGUUCCUGGGUUCAUAUUUGGGCCACUAAUUAAGUCGUUAAAGCUACUCACCGGUCUGCUUGUCAGUCUAGAUGGUGGUUGGCCCCCGAUAUGGGCAUAUGUGAGCGCUGCACACACAUCCUCCUGCCCCUUCGGUUGAGUAGAUCUUUGCAAAGACUAACUUUUAAGGAGAAAUAUUUAGAGUCCGUGGGCGUCUUGACAAAGUCCUGGCUGGGGUGAUUGAGUUGGGACUGGCCCUGUUUUGAGCAGGGGGUUGGGAUAGAUGACUUCUUUAAGUCCCUUCCAAACUCCGUCUUCCACGAUUCUUUGAUUUGUGGCCGUACUUUUUCAUAGCUGAAAAUUUUCACUCAGAGGCGGGUGAAACUCACGAAGAAUGGACUUCUUGCAAAAGAUGGCUGCCAUCUUCCACUUUUUUACUUGCUAAACUCAACCCAGACCCAACUAUGGAACGGCAAGCUUCAUUUCCAUAAUUAGCUGGACCCGAGAUGAAUUUUCGAUGACAAACGAAAUUGGGCAAUUAAAUAUUCUAAGAAAGGUAGCUCCUGUAAUGUGGCGAAUAGAGGUUUGCCACCGUGGUAGCUGGUUCUGUCCAAUGCUCUGCUAAUUUCUUUGUAGGUGAAUAGUCCUUUUUGAUCCACCCAUAAGGCCACAUUGUCCGUCCAAGAUCCAUCUGUUUCUGUAAACAUGCAUCAAGCACUGAGCCCUUAAAAUGUGCCCGACGAGCGGAACCUUUCUUUCCAUAAGAUCUCAGACUCACGCCUGCCGAGUUUGGUCACGUCCAAUACUCUUUUGCCGAGGAUGUGGCCUAUCCAUGAUGUGUUCAGAAUUCUUCCGUAACAACAUUAUUCAAACGA
This is a non-coding RNA of Pelodiscus sinensis (Chinese soft-shelled turtle), 2007 nucleotides long. Lineage: Eukaryota; Metazoa; Chordata; Testudines; Trionychidae. The record is from RefSeq and is a predicted model, not a curated record.